Molecule: long non-coding RNA, 1668 nt
Organism: Mauremys mutica (yellowpond turtle)
Lineage: Eukaryota; Metazoa; Chordata; Testudines; Geoemydidae
Exons: 4
Source: RefSeq, a predicted model, not a curated record
CUGCCUGAAGCUUGUUGUACACAAACUUGUUUAAUGGGGGGGGGGGAUGUUAAAAAAACCCAAAAAACCUCCUGAGGAAAAACGGCUGCUGUCUCAGCUCCCAGGCAGAGUUCUUCUAAUGGAGGUAGAAUUCUGGGAGGCUACAUUAGAGAAAUCUGAGUCUCUCUCCUGUCAUGGAGGUUCGUGGAGAUGGUGGCCAACUUUCCAAUGUCUGAAAACCAGACCCCUGCCCCACCUCUUUCCCCAAAGCCCUGCCCCCUACUCACUCCUCUCCCUCCUCAUCUCCAGCGUGAGCAGCACCAAGGGACCUGCAAUCCUGAGCCGCAUGGGAGUGCAGGUUAGCUCAAAAUCCAGGCCAGGGGAAGGAUCUGAACUCCACUCUUCACUGCCCUACGUGGAGGGCGCGACGGCAAAGAUCUACACAACACCCUCUGGCCUUCGAGCCGCAUGACUCAUGUUACUGGGGCAACGUCCGGGGAGGAAGGAAAUAGUGUAGUAAAAAAUAAAACCACAGCCCAGCUGAGUGCGAGAGACGAGCAGAGCCAGAGCCCGAGCAGCAGGAAAUCACAGCCUGGCUGGAGCGCUGCAGAGAUGGUCUGAGUCAUUAUCAACGCCUGCAGGUAUGUGGCAGCAAAAAUUGGGAGCCUGUGUGGCCACAGAGCUGAGGAGCCCCUUACCACCACGGCCCGCCCAGCAGACCACAGCCAGAAGCAAAAUGUAAACACAGUGAUAGCAGAAGCCCCCCCUCGGGUGACGGACGCAGUCACUAGGGACAAGGUGCUCGGCCCUGAACAGCCCUGCGGAUCCUGAGGGUAGAUGGCCUCAGGGCCUUCCUUGGAAGCCCUAGAUCUUCUUUCUCAUGGACUCCGCGAGGGUCUUGGUCUGCUGGGGCUCCUGGUCCCCGGGGCUCGGAAGUGUGUGUUCACCAGUAAAUCCAUCAUGCGUUUGCUCUCUGUCCAUUUGUAUAACAAUAUGAAUUGUCUUUAUUAACCCCUUGCCACAAGGAUUUCCCAGCAUGAAAGACAAAUUAAGUCCGACACUCAGCACCUGCGAGAACUGCUGCCUGCAAAACUCACUCCAGGCUCUGUACUGGGGCCAGGGAGAAUAUGUUACCCUUCUCGGUCUAAUAACAAACCAAAGUCGUCUUCAAUACGUACCUAGGGCCAGAUUCUGGUCUCAUGUAUACUGGGGUAACUUCAGAGUAACUUCACUGAAGUUAAUAGCGUCAGAUCCUCGGCUGGUAUAAAUUAGUACUGCUCCAUUGAUUGGAGCUAUGCUGAUUUGCACCAGCUGAGGAUUUGGACCAGAGUAGCUCUGAAUUUACACUGGUAUAACAGAGAAUCUGGCCUUUAGGGCUAAAAAUCAUCUCUAAAACAGUUAUGAAGCAGAGAAACUCCAUUGAUUUCAAUGAAGUUACACUGGAUCUACAUGGAGUAAGAGAGAGCAGAAUUUGGCCCAUGGAGGGAAGACACCACCCUUGCAUGGGUGGAUGGAUCUGGCCCUCGGUGAUCCGAUUUCCUUUCCUCUGGCAAGUUCUCCCUGUAUUGUCACAGUGAGCAAUGACGACAGAUUCACAAACUCCUUUGUGUGGAGAUGAACAAGUCUGAAUCCUUCCUGUGCUACAAACCCUCAAUUCAACCAGCAAUAAAGACUAAAAUCAGAAUGAAA